RNAcentral lists this ribosomal RNA (462 nucleotides) under uncultured bacterium. RNAcentral describes it as "partial 16S ribosomal RNA". It matches the Rfam family "Bacterial small subunit ribosomal RNA", at positions 338 to 795 of the family's 1533-position model. The record is from RNAcentral.
CCUACGGGAGGCAGCAGUGAGGAAUAUUGGUCAAUGGGCGCGAGCCUGAACCAGCCAAGUAGCGUGAGGGAUGACUGCCCUACGGGUUGUAAACUUCUUUUAUAGGGGAGUAAAGUGAGUCACGUGUGCCUUUUUGUGUGUACUUUAUGAAUAAGCAUCGGCUCACGCCGUGCCAGCAGCCGCGGUCAUACGUAGGAUCCGAGCGUUAUCCGGAGUGACUGGGGGUAAAGAGUGGCGUAGGGGGGGUAAUAGGUAGGUAGUGAAAUCUGGUGGCUAAACCAUGCAUACUGUUAGCGAAACUGGUAAGCUUGAGAGCGGUAGGGGUAACUGGAAUGUCUAGUGUAGGAGUGAAAUCCGUAGAUAUCAGAAGGAACACCGAUAGCGUAGGCAGGUUACUGGGACGGUUCUGACACUAAGGCACGAAAGCGUAGGGAGCAAACGGGAUUAGAUACCCGUGUAGUC